GGGUUUGUAGCUUAAUGGAAAAGCAUUGAACUUUUAAUUCACUGACUGCGGGUUCAAAUCCUGCCAGACCCAC
Molecule: transfer RNA, 73 nt
Filed under: Raphidocelis subcapitata
Lineage: Eukaryota; Viridiplantae; Chlorophyta; Chlorophyceae; Sphaeropleales; Selenastraceae
Description: tRNA-Lys
Rfam family: tRNA
About the family: Transfer RNA (tRNA) molecules are approximately 80 nucleotides in length. Their secondary structure includes four short double-helical elements and three loops (D, anti-codon, and T loops).
Source: RNAcentral